CCUACGGGUGGCAGCAGUGGGGAAUAUUGCACAAUGGGGGAAACCCUGAUGCAGCGACGCCGCGUGAGUGAAGAAGGAAUUCGUUACGUAAAGCUCUAUCAGCAGGGAAGAAACACUGACCUUACGGUCAGCAGACGGUACCGGAGGAAGAAGCCCCGGCUAACGACGUGCCAGCAGCCGCGGUAAUACGUAGGGGGAAAGCGUUAUCCGGAUUUAAUGGGUGUAAAGGGAGCGUAGACGGUGCGCCAAGUCUGGAGUGAAAUGCCGCAGCUUAACUGCGGAACUGCUUUGGAAACUGGCGACCUAGCGUGCCGUCGUGGUAAGCGGUAUUCCUAGUGUAGCGGUGACAUGCUUAGAUAUUAGGAGGAACCCCGGUGGCGCAGGCGGCUUACUGGACCGUAACUGACGUUGCGGCUC
Molecule: ribosomal RNA, 417 nt
Filed under: uncultured bacterium
Lineage: Bacteria
Description: partial 16S ribosomal RNA
Rfam family: Bacterial small subunit ribosomal RNA
Source: RNAcentral